GACGGAGGGUGCUAGCGUUGUUCGGAAUUACUGGGCGUAAAGGGCGCGUAGGCGGCCUGGUCAGUCGGGUGUGAAAGCCCGGGGCUCAACCCCGGAACGGCACCCGAGACGGUCAGGCUGGAGACCGGGAGAGGAGGGUGGAAUAGCCAGUGUAGAGGUGAAAUUCGUAGAUAUUGGCUGGAACACCGGUGGCGAAAGCGGCUCUCUGGCCCGGUUCUGACGCUGAGGCGCGAAAGCGUGGGGAGUAAACAGG
Molecule: ribosomal RNA, 253 nt
Filed under: uncultured bacterium
Lineage: Bacteria
Description: partial 16S ribosomal RNA
Rfam family: Bacterial small subunit ribosomal RNA
Source: RNAcentral